This 542-nucleotide ribosomal RNA is filed under the name Metschnikowia sp. (in: budding yeasts & allies). Its description in RNAcentral is "eukaryotic LSU rRNA". The stretch from base 56 to 204 matches the Rfam family "5.8S ribosomal RNA". The record is from RNAcentral. Lineage: Eukaryota; Fungi; Ascomycota; Pichiomycetes; Serinales; Metschnikowiaceae.
GUGUGAGUAUCCCAUUUUCGACUCCUCUAAUCUUAGUCGUCAUAAUUGUUUCAAAAACUUUCAACACCGGAUCUCUUGGUUCUCGCAUCGAUGAAAACGCAGCGAAUUGCGAUACGUAAUAUGACUUGCAGACGUGAAUCAUUGAAUCUUUGAACGCACAUUGCGCCCCGGGGUAUUCCCCAGGGCAUGCGUGGGUGAGCGAUAUUUACUCUCAAACCUCCGGUUUGGUCCUGCUUCGGCCUAAUAUCAACGGCGCUAGAAUAAGUUUUAGCCCCAUUCUUUUUCCUCACCCUCGUAAGACUACCCGCUGAACUUAAGCAUAUCAAUAAGCGGAGGAAAUAUGCUUGGUAUUGGGCGUCGUCCUUAGUUGGGCGCGCCUUAAAGACCUCGGCGAGGCCACUCCGGCUUUAGGCGUAGUAGAAUUUAUUCGAACGUCUGUCAAAGGAGAGGAACUCUGCCGACUGAAACCUUUAUUUUUCUAGGUUGACCUCGGAUCAGGUAGGGAUACCCGCUGAACUUAAGCAUAUCAAUAAGCGGAGGAA